This 228-nucleotide ribosomal RNA is filed under the name uncultured archaeon. RNAcentral describes it as "partial 16S ribosomal RNA". It matches the Rfam family "Archaeal small subunit ribosomal RNA", at positions 508 to 731 of the family's 1478-position model. The record is from RNAcentral.
GCUUGCUUAAAGGGGCCGUAGCUGGUCUGGUAAAUCCUUUGUGAAAUCGUUAGGCUCAACCUAAUGGCGUGCAGGGGAGACUGCUAGACUCGAGACCGGGAGGGGUUAGGGGUAUUCUGAGGGGAGCGGUAAAAUGCUAUAAUCCUCAGAGGACCACCUGUGGCGAAGGCGCCUAACCAGAACGGAUCUGACAGUGAGGGACGAAAGCUAGGGGAACGAUCCGGAUUA